RNAcentral lists this ribosomal RNA (788 nucleotides) under uncultured archaeon. RNAcentral describes it as "bacterial SSU rRNA". It matches the Rfam family "Archaeal small subunit ribosomal RNA", at positions 85 to 879 of the family's 1478-position model. The record is from RNAcentral.
ACGGCUCAGUAACACGUGGACAACCUACCCUGAAGAGGGGGAUAACCCCGGGAAACUGGGGAUAAUACCCAUAGACUAUGGAUGCUGGAAUGCUCUGUAGUUCAAAGGUCCGCCGCUUCAGGAUGGGUCUGCGGCCGAUUAGGUUGUUGUUGGGGUAACGGCCCAACAAGCCUGUAAUCGGUACGGGUUGUGGGAGCAAGAGCCCGGAGAUGGAUUCUGAGACACGAAUCCAGGCCCUACGGGGCGCAGCAGGCGCGAAAACUUUGCAAUGCGAGAAAUCGUGACAAGGGAACUCCGAGUGCCUGUAAAAUCAGGCUGUCCGCCAGUGUAAACAACUGGUGAAGAAAGGGCCGGGCAAGACCGGUGCCAGCCGCCGCGGUAAUACCGGCGGCUCGAGUGGUGGCCACUAUUACUGGGCUUAAAGCGUUCGUAGCUGGUCUGUUAAGUCUCUGGGGAAAUCUUCCGGCUUAACCGGAAGGCGUCUCAGGGAUACUGGCAGACUAGGGACCGGAAGAGGUGAGAGGUACUCCAGGGGUAGGAGUGAAAUCCUGUAAUCCUUGGGGGACCACCUGUGGCGAAGGCGUCUCACCAGGACGGCUCCGACAGUGAGGAACGAAAGCUGGGGGAGCAAACCGGAUUAGAUACUCGGGUAGUCCCAGCUGUAAACGAUGCGCGUUAGGUGUAUCGGUGACCACGAGUCACCGAGGUGCCGAAGAGAAAUCGUGAAACGCGCCGCCUGGGAAGUACGGUCGCAAGGCUGAAACUUAAAGGAAUUGGCGGGGGAGCAC